This 535-nucleotide long non-coding RNA is filed under the name Pongo abelii (Sumatran orangutan). RNAcentral's name for it is "lincRNA". Lineage: Eukaryota; Metazoa; Chordata; Mammalia; Primates; Hominidae. The record is from RNAcentral.
CCAACACACAGAGGACUAAAGCAGAGGUGAUGAACCCAAGUUGAUGCUCGACCCUGCCACCUUUGGCACCCUGGUUGGAAAGCUGUGAGGGCAUGCUGCUUCUGUAUUCUCAGGCAUGCUGUGUGGGCACUGCCAGCCAGCUUCAGAGAUGGGUCCAGGUCCUUCUAAACAUGUUAGUUGAUGCCCAACCUCUGGGGACACAAUUUCUUUCUGCAGUGGAUUCAUGACCUAACCUGGGCAAAUGAGCCUUGAGAAGACAUUUGCUAGAAGCUCAUGGAAAAGAAACUUCCUUGCUUUUCUGAAAAAGCUACUGAGAGAGCCCCUUUACUCUUUCUACAGGAUCUGGAGGAGGAAGCAGGCAGGCCCUGGGUCUACUGGCAACCAUCUUGUGAUCAUGAGUUGAGACUAUAUUACCAGGAAAUGAUCCCUACAGAAGGCAGAGUGCAGAGAGGAAGAAAACAAUCUGAGGACAUUAUUGAGUGCUGUAUUAAGCGCAGCAAAUUACAUGGGCCAAUAAAUACCUUUUCUUUCUUAA